GACAGACUGACAGACAGACAGACAGCUGGCAAGAGGCAGCCUGGGGGCCACAGCUGCUUCAGCAGACCUCAUGGCUGAGUGAGCCUCACUUGGGCCCAGCACCCCACCCCAGCAUGGUCCAAGCCCAUGGGGGGCGCUCCAGAGCACAGCCGCUGACCUUGUCUUUGGGGGCAGCCAUGACCCAGCCUCCGCCUGCCAAAACGCCAGCCAAGAAGCAUGUGCGGCUGCAGGAGAGGCGGGGCUCCAAUGUGGCUCUGAUGCUGGACGUUCGGUCCCUGGGGGCCGUAGAACCCAUUUGCUCCGUGAACACACCCCGGGAGGUCACCCUACACUUUCUGCGCACUGCUGGACACCCCCUUACCCGCUGGGCCCUUCAGCGCCAGCCACCCAGCCCCAAGCAACUGGAAGAAGAAUUCUUGGUAAGAAAUUGGGGUCCCCUCCGAAUCGCUCUGCCCUCUGUAUCAGAGGCAGCCAGCUGGAACCAUUCUCUCACGGGCACCCUGGGCAAGUCUCCUCUUUGGGCCCCUUAGGAAAGAGAACUUCAGGGCCAAGGGAGGGGCUGCCCCCAGGCUU
This 573-nucleotide small RNA is filed under the name Pongo abelii (Sumatran orangutan). RNAcentral's name for it is "retained intron". The record is from RNAcentral. Lineage: Eukaryota; Metazoa; Chordata; Mammalia; Primates; Hominidae.